Non-coding RNA from Chelonoidis abingdonii (Abingdon island giant tortoise), 98 nucleotides. The record is from RefSeq and is a predicted model, not a curated record. Lineage: Eukaryota; Metazoa; Chordata; Testudines; Testudinidae.
CCACCACCAAAAUACUUAAGAACUGCCUACGGGACACUGAGGCACCAACACAGUAUUCAGAGCAAACAUUAGGAAACAGAACAGUCCCAGUUCGUCAC